ACUCUUGNNUCNNCNGAAUUCGGCAGAGAUGCCUUAGUGCCUUCGGGAACUGUGAGACAGGUGCUGCAUGGCUGUCGUCAGCUCGUGUUGUGAAAUGUUGGGUUAAGUCCCGCAACGAGCGCAACCCUUAUCCUUUGUUGCCAGCGCGUAAUGGCGGGAACUCAAAGGAGACUGCCGGUGAUAAACCGGAGGAAGGUGGGGAUGACGUCAAGUCAUCAUGGCCCUUACGAGUAGGGCUACACACGUGCUACAAUGGCGUAUACAAAGAGAAGCGAACUCGCGAGAGCCAGCGGACCUCAUAAAGUACGUCGUAGUCCGGAUCGGAGUCUGCAACUCGACUCCGUGAAGUCNGAAUCGCUAGNAAUCNUAGAUCAGAANGNUNCGGNNAANACNUNCCCGGG
Molecule: ribosomal RNA, 401 nt
Filed under: Serratia sp. AZTITEMP217
Lineage: Bacteria; Pseudomonadati; Pseudomonadota; Gammaproteobacteria; Enterobacterales; Yersiniaceae
Description: partial 16S ribosomal RNA
Rfam family: Bacterial small subunit ribosomal RNA
Source: RNAcentral